RNAcentral lists this ribosomal RNA (379 nucleotides) under uncultured bacterium. RNAcentral describes it as "partial 16S ribosomal RNA". It matches the Rfam family "Bacterial small subunit ribosomal RNA", at positions 338 to 734 of the family's 1533-position model. The record is from RNAcentral.
CCUACGGGUGGCUGCAGUGGGGAAUAUUGCACAAUGGGGGAAACCCUGAUGCAGCGACGCCGCGUGAGCGAUGAAGUACCUCGGUGUGUAAAGCUCUAUCAGCAGGGAAGAAAAUGACGGUACCUGACCAAGAAGCCCCGGCUAACUCCGUGCCAGCAGCCGCGGUAAUACGUAGGGGGCAAGCGUUAUCCGGAUUUACUGGGUGUAAAGGGGGCGUAGACGGCUGUGCAAGCCAGAUGUGAAAGCCCGGGGCUCAACCCCGGGACUGCAUUUGGAACCGUGUGGCUGGAGUGUCGGUGAGGCAGGCGGAAUUCCUGGUGUAGCGGUGAAAUGCGUAGAUAUUAGGAGGAACACCGGUGGCGAAGGCGGCCUGCUGGAC